UACUAACCAAUAAGAUAAGUAAGUAGUAUAAGUUAAAGCUAAGGUAAAGUUAUUUUUACCUUAUAAUAUAAUAAAUAAAGUUAAUAUUUAAUAUGAUUGUGUUUAAUUUACACCAUGAGUUCAUGAUGAUGUAUGGAACGUACGGAAAAUAGGAUAAAAAUCAAGAAUAUUUCUUAUUAUACAUAUACGAAUAAGAAAAUAUUAGGUAGAUAGUUAAUAAAAAAAUACAUUUAAAUCGUACAUAAAUUUUGUGCUGAGAUUAAAGUGUUUCAACAUGAUAUCUGCUGAUGUCAAUGUAAUUUCUAAGAAUCCCACACAUUAGUAAUAUUUCAAUUGAAACAGUGUACAUAAAUUCCUUAGUGAUGCACAUUCCAUUACAUGACCAAAUAAUCAUUAAGCUAAUAUUCUCCUUUCCUUGCGGUUGUGUAGAAAAACAAACAGAAAAAUAUGUCUUCAGAUGAGAUUUCUCUAGUGAAUUAUAUUGCAACCAAAAAUCUUGGAAAUCCUAAAUAUGUAGUGAAAAUGGAAAUAUGUAAAAUUGUACAAACAUCAAACAUAGCUGAAGUGAAAACAGUAAUAAAAACACAAUAUUUGGUAAAUGAAGAUUACGAUACUAUAUUGGAGUUUGCUGUAAAAUUAAUAAAUCAAAUUGGAACAAAACUUGGAGAAAAUGCUGACCAGCACGCAUCUUGAGUGAAAUAAGGUACAGGACAUAGUCGUUGAACAAUGAACAUUCCUUUGUGCAUUUGAAAUGUUAUUAAAAUUAAGUUCGUAUAGUAAAUAAAUCUGUAUUAUGUUUUGGCUUUGUUAGGGAUUAUGUUAUAAUAAACUAAAUAUUUAAUUACUUACAUACUUAUUUAGAGCACCACAUACUGUACUACAUAUGGCACUGUGCAUUGAAAGAAAUUAACCUUGAUGUUUAAAUGAUAAAAUAUUAGGUACCUAAGUACUUUACUUGUGUAUGAACUUAUUAAAAAUUAAUAAAAUAAAAAACCAAAAUUACAUAAUUUUUGCUUUUAUUUUUCAUAAUCCUUAAAUCUAGUUAAACAAUAAAUAGUAUAAAGUCAUUUUAAAAAAAAACAAUCAUAUUAUUUUCUAUAAACCAUUUCCUUAAAGAAAUUACAUUUUUUAGAGCACAAUAUUUUUUAUGAUAGGCACAGUUAUAGUUUACAGUACUAUUCAAAAAUGAAUUAUAUAAAGUAGUAAAAUUUGGACACCCUUUUUCUCCUAGUUCGAUUAUAUUACAAUUACUACAUAUUUCCUCCAUCCAUCUAAUCUUUUCUAAUCCUUUAACAAGAAUGUUCCGGUGUUUCUCUAAAAAAGGUUUAAUGUACUUUUUAAAUUCUUCAUAUACGAUAUAGCCUUCAUUCCAAUAUAUGCCUCGAUUUCGUUGAAUCCAAGAAACUUGUUUUUUUUCUUCACUAUACAAAUCAUUAUAAGUAAAUGGUGGUUUCAAAAGAAACACCUGAGUAUGUUCGGAAGUUGCAAAAGCAAAUUCCUUUAGAAUGAAUCGGUUCCUCAAGUCUUUAAAGCC
Plutella xylostella (diamondback moth) is the source of this 1534-nucleotide non-coding RNA. The record is from RefSeq and is a predicted model, not a curated record. NCBI's taxonomy places the organism in Eukaryota, Metazoa, Arthropoda, Insecta, Lepidoptera, Plutellidae.